This 434-nucleotide ribosomal RNA is filed under the name uncultured Blautia sp. Its description in RNAcentral is "partial 16S ribosomal RNA". It matches the Rfam family "Bacterial small subunit ribosomal RNA", at positions 341 to 792 of the family's 1533-position model. Lineage: Bacteria; Bacillati; Bacillota; Clostridia; Lachnospirales; Lachnospiraceae. The record is from RNAcentral.
ACGGGAGGCAGCAGUGGGGAAUAUUGGGCAAUGGGGGAAACCCUGACCCAGCAACGCCGCGUGAAGGAAGAAGGCCUUCGGGUUGUAAACUUCUUUUACCAGGGACGAUAAUGACGGUACCUGGAGAAAAAGCAACGGCUAACUACGUGCCAGCAGCCGCGGUAAUACGUAGGUGACAAGCGUUAUCCGGAUUUACUGGGUGUAAAGGGAGCGUAGACGGCAAGGUAAGUCUGAAGUGAAAUGCCGGGGCUCAACCCCGGAACUGCUUUGGAAACUAUCUCGCUCGAGUACCGGAGGGGUAAGCGGAAUUCCUAGUGUAGCGGUGAAAUGCGUAGAUAUUAGGAGGAACACCAGUGGCGAAGGCGGCUUACUGGACGGUAACUGACGUUGAGGCUCGAAAGCGUGGGGAGCAAACAGGAUUAGAUACCCUGGUA